This 440-nucleotide ribosomal RNA is filed under the name uncultured bacterium. RNAcentral describes it as "partial 16S ribosomal RNA". It matches the Rfam family "Bacterial small subunit ribosomal RNA", at positions 338 to 795 of the family's 1533-position model. The record is from RNAcentral.
CCUACGGGGGGCAGCAGUAGGGAAUAUUGCGCAAUGGGCGAAAGCCUGAAGCAGCAACGCCGCGUGAGGGAUGAAGGUUUUCGGAUUGUAAACCCCUGUUGUUAGAGAAGAAAAUGACGGUACCUAAAGAGUAAGCACCGUCUAACUCCGUUCCAGCAGCCGCGGUAAUACGGAGGGUGCAACCGUUACGCGGAAUCACUGGGCGUAAAGAGUGCGUAGGCGGGAUGGCAAGUCAGAUGGUAAAUGCUGUGGCUUAACCAUAGAACUGCAUUUGAAACUGUUAAUCUAGAGUGCGGUAGAGGUAGGUGGAAUUCGUGGUGUAGCGGUGAAAUGCGUAGAUAUCAGGAGGAACACCGGUUGCGAAGGCGGUUUGCUAGAACGUAACUGACGCUGAGGCGCGAAAGCGUGGGGAGCAAACAGGAUUAGAUACCCCGGUAGUC